Molecule: ribosomal RNA, 253 nt
Filed under: uncultured bacterium
Lineage: Bacteria
Description: partial 16S ribosomal RNA
Rfam family: Bacterial small subunit ribosomal RNA
Source: RNAcentral
UACGUAGGGGGCAAGCGUUGUCCGGAUUUAUUGGGCGUAAAGGGCGCGUAGGCGGCCUUCUAAGUCGAACGUGAAAUCCCCGGGCUCAACCCGGGAACUGCGUCCGAUACCGGAAGGCUUGAAUCCGGGAGAGGGAUGUGGAAUUCCAGGUGUAGCGGUGAAAUGCGUAGAUAUCUGGAGGAACACCCGUGGCGAAGGCGGCUCUCUGGGACGGUACUGACGCUGAGACGCGAAAGCGUGGGGAGCGAACAGG